RNAcentral lists this ribosomal RNA (402 nucleotides) under uncultured bacterium. Its description in RNAcentral is "bacterial SSU rRNA". It matches the Rfam family "Bacterial small subunit ribosomal RNA", at positions 362 to 757 of the family's 1533-position model. The record is from RNAcentral.
UUUUGGACAAUGGGGGAAACCCUGAUCCAGCAAUGCCGCGUGAGUGAAGAAGGCCUUCGGGUUGUAAAGCUCUUUUGUCAGGGAAGAAACACCGGCUCUAACACAGUCCGGGAAUGACGGUACCUGAAGAAUAAGCACCGGCUAACUACGUGCCAGCAGCCGCGGUAAUACGUAGGGUGCAAGCGUUAAUCGGAAUUACUGGGCGUAAAGCGUGCGCAGGCGGUUAUACAAGACAGGCGUGAAAUCCCCGGGCUUAACCUGGGAAUGGCGCCUGUGACUGUAUAGCUAGAGUGUGUCAGAGGGGGGUAGAAUUCCACGUGUAGCAGUGAAAUGCGUAGAUAUGUGGAGGAAUACCAAUGGCGAAGGCAGCCCCCUGGGAUAACACUGACGCUCAUGCACGAA